GACGAACGCUGGCGGCGUGCUUAACACAUGCAAGUCGAACGGAAAGGCCCUGCUUUUGUGGGGUGCUCGAGUGGCGAACGGGUGAGUAACACGUGAGUAACCUGCCCUUGACUUUGGGAUAACUUCAGGAAACUGGGGCUAAUACCGGAUAGGAGCUCCUGCUGCAUGGUGGGGGUUGGAAAGUUUCGGCGGUUGGGGAUGGACUCGCGGCUUAUCAGCUUGUUGGUGGGGUAGUGGCUUACCAAGGCUUUGACGGGUAGCCGGCCUGAGAGGGUGACCGGCCACAUUGAGACUGAGAUACGGCACAGACUCCUACGGGAGGCAGCAGUGGGGAAUAUUGCACAAUGGGCGGAAGCCUGAUGCAGCAACGCCGCGUGCGGGAUGACGGCCUUCGGGUUGUAAACCGCUUUCGCCUGUGACGAAGCGUGAGUGACGGUAAUGGGUAAAGAAGCACCGGCUAACUACGUG
RNAcentral lists this ribosomal RNA (468 nucleotides) under uncultured bacterium. RNAcentral describes it as "partial 16S ribosomal RNA". It matches the Rfam family "Bacterial small subunit ribosomal RNA", at positions 28 to 507 of the family's 1533-position model. The record is from RNAcentral.